Molecule: ribosomal RNA, 539 nt
Filed under: uncultured bacterium
Lineage: Bacteria
Description: partial 16S ribosomal RNA
Rfam family: Bacterial small subunit ribosomal RNA
Source: RNAcentral
UGGGGAAUUUUGGACAAUGGGGGAAACCCUGAUCCAGCCAUCCCGCGUGUGCGAUGAAGGCCUUCGGGUUGUAAAGCACUUUUGGCAGGAAAGAAACGUCGCGGGUUAAUACCCCGCGGAACUGACGGUACCUGCAGAAUAAGCACCGGCUAACUACGUGCCAGCAGCCGCGGUAAUACGUAGGGUGCAAGCGUUAAUCGGAAUUACUGGGCGUAAAGCGUGCGCAGGCGGUUCGGAAAGAAAGAUGUGAAAUCCCAGAGCUUAACUUUGGAACUGCAUUUUUAACUACCGGGCUAGAGUGUGUCAGAGGGAGGUGGAAUUCCGCGUGUAGCAGUGAAAUGCGUAGAUAUGCGGAGGAACACCGAUGGCGAAGGCAGCCUCCUGGGAUAACACUGACGCUCAUGCACGAAAGCGUGGGGAGCAAACAGGAUUAGAUACCCUGGUAGUCCACGCCCUAAACGAUGUCAACUAGCUGUUGGGGUCUUCGGACCUUGGUAGCGCAGCUAACGCGUGAAGUUGACCGCCUGGGGAGUACGGUC